RNAcentral lists this ribosomal RNA (440 nucleotides) under uncultured bacterium. RNAcentral's name for it is "partial 16S ribosomal RNA". It matches the Rfam family "Bacterial small subunit ribosomal RNA", at positions 338 to 795 of the family's 1533-position model. The record is from RNAcentral.
CCUACGGGUGGCAGCAGUGGGGAAUAUUGCACAAUGGGGGAAACCCUGAUGCAGCGACGCCGCGUGAAGGAAGAAGUAUUUCGGUAUGUAAACUUCUAUCAGCAGGGGAGAAAAUGACGGUACCUGACUACGAAGCCCCGGCUAACUACGUGCCAGCAGCCGCGGUAAUACGGAGGGAGCAAGCGAUAUCCGGAUUUACUGGGUGUAAAGGGAGCGUAGGCGGUUUAGCAAGUCAGAAGUGAAAGCCCGGGGCUCAACUCCGGGACUGCUGUUGAAACUGUUGUACUAGAUUGCAGGAGAAGUAUGUGGAAUGCGUAGUGUAGCGGUGAAAUGCGUAGAUAUUAGGAAGAACUCCAGUGGCGAAGGCAGCAUACUGGACUGUAAAUGACGCUGAGGCACGAAAGCGUGGGUAGCGAACAGGAUUAGAUACCCGGGUAGUC